UAGAGUUUGAUCCUGGCUCAGAUUGAACGCUGGCGGCAUGCCUUACACAUGCAAGUCGAACGGCAGCACGGGUGCUUGCACCUGGUGGCGAGUGGCGAACGGGUGAGUAAUACAUCGGAACAUGUCCUGUAGUGGGGGAUAGCCCGGCGAAAGCCGGAUUAAUACCGCAUACGAUCUACGGAUGAAAGCGGGGGACCUUCGGGCCUCGCGCUAUAGGGUUGGCCGAUGGCUGAUUAGCUAGUUGGUGGGGUAAAGGCCUACCAAGGCGACGAUCAGUAGCUGGUCUGAGAGGACGACCAGCCACACUGGGACUGAGACACGGCCCAGACUCCUACGGGAGGCAGCAGUGGGGAAUUUUGGACAAUGGGCGAAAGCCUGAUCCAGCAAUGCCGCGUGUGUGAAGAAGGCCUUCGGGUUGUAAAGCACUUUUGUCCGGAAAGAAAUCCUUGGCUCUAAUACAGUCGGGGGAUGACGGUACCGGAAGAAUAAGCACCGGCUAACUACGUGCCAGCAGCCGCGGUAAUACGUAGGGUGCGAGCGUUAAUCGGAAUUACUGGGCGUAAAGCGUGCGCAGGCGGUCUGUUAAGACAGAUGUGAAAUCCCCGGGCUCAACCUGGGAACUGCAUUUGUGACUGGCAGGCUAGAGUAUGGCAGAGGGGGGUAGAAUUCCACGUGUAGCAGUGAAAUGCGUAGAGAUGUGGAGGAAUACCGAUGGCGAAGGCAGCCCCCUGGGCCAAUACUGACGCUCAUGCACGAAAGCGUGGGGAGCAAACAGGAUUAGAUACCCUGGUAGUCCACGCCCUAAACGAUGUCAACUAGUUGUUGGGGAUUCAUUUCCUUAGUAACGUAGCUAACGCGUGAAGUUGACCGCCUGGGGAGUACGGUCGCAAGAUUAAAACUCAAAGGAAUUGACGGGGACCCGCACAAGCGGUGGAUGAUGUGGAUUAAUUCGAUGCAACGCGAAAAACCUUACCUACCCUUGACAUGGUCGGAAUCCUGAAGAGAUUCGGGAGUGCUCGAAAGAGAACCGGCGCACAGGUGCUGCAUGGCUGUCGUCAGCUCGUGUCGUGAGAUGUUGGGUUAAGUCCCGCAACGAGCGCAACCCUUGUCCUUAGUUGCUACGCAAGAGCACUCUAAGGAGACUGCCGGUGACAAACCGGAGGAAGGUGGGGAUGACGUCAAGUCCUCAUGGCCCUUAUGGGUAGGGCUUCACACGUCAUACAAUGGUCGGAACAGAGGGUUGCCAACCCGCGAGGGGGAGCUAAUCCCAGAAAACCGAUCGUAGUCCGGAUUGCACUCUGCAACUCGAGUGCAUGAAGCUGGAAUCGCUAGUAAUCGCGGAUCAGCAUGCCGCGGUG
This 1358-nucleotide ribosomal RNA is filed under the name Burkholderia multivorans. RNAcentral's name for it is "bacterial SSU rRNA". It matches the Rfam family "Bacterial small subunit ribosomal RNA", at positions 1 to 1364 of the family's 1533-position model. Lineage: Bacteria; Pseudomonadati; Pseudomonadota; Betaproteobacteria; Burkholderiales; Burkholderiaceae. The record is from RNAcentral.